UUUUCCCGCCUUGAUAUUUCAAAUGCAGUUGUGUGAUCCGGUAUGUGUGGUCAAUUGUUUGCUUCCUUUGUUUUGUAGAGUGGAGAGUGAUAUCCCGGAUUGUGUGUGACGCCCGUGUUGUUUUGUCUCCUUUUGAAAGUCACAGGAUAUAUUAAGCUAGCGUGAGUGAGCGCUGAUGCACGGAGCUGAGUGGAGAGUGAUAUCCCGGAUUGUGUGUGACGCCCGUGUUGUUUUGUCUCCUUUUGAAAGAAUAAACCUCCAGUACUCGA
Gadus macrocephalus (Pacific cod) is the source of this 269-nucleotide long non-coding RNA. RefSeq lists it as uncharacterized. Lineage: Eukaryota; Metazoa; Chordata; Actinopteri; Gadiformes; Gadidae. The transcript is spliced from 2 exons. The record is from RefSeq and is a predicted model, not a curated record.